CCCUUAGAUGUUCUGGGCUGCACGCGCGCUACACUGAAGCGUUCAACGAGUAUUCACCUUGCCCGGGAGGGUUGGGUAAUCUUUUGAAAACGCUUCGUGAUGGGGAUAGAUUAUUGCAAUUAUUAAUCUUCAACGAGGAAUUCCUAGUAAGCGCGAGUCAUCAGCUCGUGCUGAUUACGUCCCUGCCCUUUGUACACACCGCCCGUCGCUCCUACCGAUUGAGUGCUCCGGUGAAUAAUUCGGACUGCAGCACUGCUUGGUCUCCAGGCUUUGCAGCGGAAAGUUUAGUGAACCUUAUCACUUAGAGGAAGGAGAAGUCGUANCA
Molecule: ribosomal RNA, 325 nt
Filed under: uncultured eukaryote
Lineage: Eukaryota
Description: partial 18S ribosomal RNA
Rfam family: Eukaryotic small subunit ribosomal RNA
Source: RNAcentral